AUCACUUCUUGGCCUUUUGGCUAAGAUCAAGUGUAGUAUCUGUUCUUAUCAGUUUAAUAUCUGAUACGUCCUCUAUCUGAGCACAAUAAGUAUUAACGGGCUUCCUUGGUGGCUCAGUGAUAAAGAAUCCAC
Molecule: small nuclear RNA, 132 nt
Filed under: Ovis aries (sheep)
Lineage: Eukaryota; Metazoa; Chordata; Mammalia; Artiodactyla; Bovidae
Description: U2 spliceosomal RNA
Rfam family: U2 spliceosomal RNA
About the family: U2 is a small nuclear RNA (snRNA) component of the spliceosome (involved in pre-mRNA splicing). Complementary binding between U2 snRNA (in an area lying towards the 5' end but 3' to hairpin I) and the branchpoint sequence (BPS) of the intron results the bulging out of an unpaired adenosine, on the BPS, which initiates a nucleophilic attack at the intronic 5' splice site, thus starting the first of two transesterification reactions that mediate splicing.
Source: Rfam by way of RNAcentral